Molecule: ribosomal RNA, 513 nt
Filed under: uncultured bacterium
Lineage: Bacteria
Description: partial 16S ribosomal RNA
Rfam family: Bacterial small subunit ribosomal RNA
Source: RNAcentral
UGGGGAAUAUUGGACAAUGGGGGCAACCCUGAUCCAGCAAUGCCGCGUGUGUGAAGAAGGUCUUCGGAUUGUAAAGCACUUUCGACGGGGACGAUGAUGACGGUACCCGUAGAAGAAGCCCCGGCUAACUUCGUGCCAGCAGCCGCGGUAAUACGAAGGGGGCUAGCGUUGCUCGGAAUGACUGGGCGUAAAGGGCGUGUAGGCGGUUUACACAGUCAGAUGUGAAAUCCCCGGGCUUAACCUGGGAGCUGCAUUUGAUACGUGUAGACUAGAGUGUGAGAGAGGGUUGUGGAAUUCCCAGUGUAGAGGUGAAAUUCGUAGAUAUUGGGAAGAACACCGGUGGCGAAGGCGGCAACCUGGCUCAUGACUGACGCUGAGGCGCGAAAGCGUGGGGAGCAAACAGGAUUAGGAUACCCUGGUAGUCCACGCUGUAAACGAUGUGUGCUAGAUGUUGGGUAACUUUGUUAUUCAGUGUCGCAGUUAACGCGUUAAGCACACCGCCUGGGGAGUACG